Molecule: transfer RNA, 73 nt
Filed under: Bacteroidaceae bacterium
Lineage: Bacteria; Pseudomonadati; Bacteroidota; Bacteroidia; Bacteroidales; Bacteroidaceae
Description: tRNA-Phe
Rfam family: tRNA
About the family: Transfer RNA (tRNA) molecules are approximately 80 nucleotides in length.
Source: RNAcentral
GGUGCCAUAGCUGAGUUGGUAGAGCAAAGGACUGAAAAUCCUUGUGUCCCCGGUUCGAUUCCUGGUGGCACCA